Molecule: long non-coding RNA, 219 nt
Filed under: Gallus gallus (chicken)
Lineage: Eukaryota; Metazoa; Chordata; Aves; Galliformes; Phasianidae
Source: RNAcentral
UGAAACUUCAUCAUUUCACACCUGUUCAGGAUGCAUCUCCUGUCCUUGAGCAACACUUCAACUGGCUGCUGCAUCUUCUCCUUUAUCUCCAGGAUCAGCUCGACCAGCGAGCACUUCUGCUCUGUCACCCUGGCCAGGUUUUCAGAGAUCAUCACCAGAAUCUGUGUCUCCUCCUCCUCCAGCUUCUGAAGCAGCAGCUUCUCCUCAUCAGCCAGCAGC